ACAAGCUUAUUGAUAAGGUAAAUUUUAUUCCCAUAUUACAGAUGAAGAAAACAAGGCUCCAAGAGAUUAAAUUAUUUGCCAAGGCUCAAAGCUACUAUGUGUUACAACCAGGAUUCAAACCUAAAACUUGAAGUCCCAAAAUCUUAACCAGUAUACAAUACUGCCUGCUAGAGUUGCUCAAGAAGAUCAAUGUAAGAAUGCCCCCGUCAACAACUGGAACCACAGGAAAGGAGUGGGUGGGACUUACGUUCACUCAAGAGUGUCAUAGGUACCAUGUGGCAAGAAGUGUCACUCUGAAAAGCUGAAGAGAUGUUGUUUUGUAACCAAAGCUUAAAGCGAAGCAGGAGGGAAUGAGGAUAGAAGGUAACUGGGAAGGUAACUGGGAAGCCUAGAGUAGUUGUGUUAAUGAUGGUUAAAUUCUCUUUUUGUGCUUGGCAGUGGGAUAAAACUAUUUCCUCUCAAUCUGGAUUCAGCGGAUGUGGACCACUGAAUUAAUUCUCUACAUCUGGAGUUCGUGAGCUUAACAGGCAACAAAGACUCGAUCCCCUUCAAAAGCCACCUCUUAACAGCUUAGCUGUCACUGACAGGCUGCCUAUGCUACUGACCUUGGAAGUUCCCCAUUCAGGGCAUGGAUUCACAACACGUGCAGACCAACAGAAACAAACUGCCACUUUUCUCCUGAAAUGAAGAUUUACAGUGUUCACUGCCACCUCCAAAGGCACUUCACUGACUUCUACUAUAACACUGAAGAGAUCGAACUCAGAACCUUGGACUUAUGAGGCCCCGGCCUCAUCAAAUUUUUUGAAAGAGGUGACUGUGGAUAAAUGAAACCAGGAGUACAAAACUUUGGGUGAAGAGAGACUGGUACACAGACAACUGCUUCCCACUAAGGUGAAUGUGGACCUUUGUUCACUUAGGGUGAAGCUGUGACAUGUAUCACACUAGUCACUUUGAACUCACUAUCCAGGAGAGAUGUACUCUGCCUCAAGUAAAUUCAACAAUAGAUACACACACACACACACACACAAUGUGAAAAUGACUUUCACUUUAAAAAGGAAUUGUCAAUGGUAGUCCUUAAAAAUAAGUCCUAGAAGCCAGGGACAUAUCUCAGUGGCACUGCGCCUGCCUUGCAAGCACAGGUCCGCAGUUCAAUCCCCGGUAACAAAAAAAUAAAUAAAUAAGUACUAGAAAAACUCAUUGUACCAAUAUAUCUAUUACAUACUAUAAGAAACAAUAAAUGAGAACACAUAAAUGAAUUUAUGCUUUCAAUAACAAUUCUAAAUAAGGGGUUAAUAUUUUUCUGGCACAAAAACCAAAGAGAGCAGAAGUUUUCACUGAAGAAUACUUAAUGAUCAGUGCACAGGAGUGUCAUCUCCCUUGGUUCCAGUCAACAUUUUCCAAUAAACAAAUAUUUGAGUUCCUAUCAUGUGCCAGACAAUAUUAUCUGAUCAGUAUUUCCUGUAUCUCCAUCUCCUGACUUGACAAACAGAAAGGACUCCAACAGUUCAAAGAUGCUCACCCUGGAGUAAUACUUCCACACUCUGUUUUGUCAAGAUUUUAAAGUACUAAAGUGUGACAUAACUAUACCACUAUUUUCAAAAGUUAGGUUUAAAUCUAGUGAGAAAGACAAAAAUGCUAAUUUUUAUUAAAUUCUCUGAGUACUUAAUACUGACUGCCCAAAUCCUGAGAAUAAUUUAAACCUAUACAAAAAUCUGGUGUGAUAAGAGAUAAGAAGAAUAAAAUAGUUCCAAGGCUAUUCAAAGUCAAAAAGAAGAGCCAAAGCCAUUUUCUCAUCUUAAAUAUAACAUAAACAGGCUUACCGUUUUGCUUACUCUCUAUCAGAUGUAACCUGGCAUUUGCAUUGCUAACAGCCCUUUCACUAAGUGUGCUCACAAUUGUAAGUCUCUUUUCAAUGGCAAUAACUGGAUCCCCUACCUAUCCUAGGCCUUGGACAUGCUAAUAAUAUCAAACUGCAGAUAAGUAUUCUUUCACGUACAAUGUAUAAACAGAAUAUAAAAAUUUUUGGAGGGAUGUGUUUGUUUUCUUGGGAAGGCAUUGUACCAGAAGUUUCAUCUUGCUUUGUUUUAAUUUUCACUUGAAAUUCUAUAAAGAACAAGACCAAGUACAAUUUAUUCCUCAUGAAAGAUACCUCUUACAAGACAAAAAACAAUGGAAAUAAGAAAAUGUCUAAAAGAGCUAUUUAUCAAUAUACACCAGAAAAAGGGUCUCUACUUUUUUGUAGUAUUAAAUUCUUUGUCUUCAUACAGUUAUCAACUCAAAACCAGUCAAAGGACCCUUUGGAAAAAUGCAACUA
Molecule: non-coding RNA, 2314 nt
Organism: Heterocephalus glaber (naked mole-rat)
Lineage: Eukaryota; Metazoa; Chordata; Mammalia; Rodentia; Bathyergidae
Source: RefSeq, a predicted model, not a curated record